This is a non-coding RNA of Strigamia maritima, 298 nucleotides long. NCBI's taxonomy places the organism in Eukaryota, Metazoa, Arthropoda, Chilopoda, Geophilomorpha, Linotaeniidae. The record is from Rfam.
GCUGGGAGUGGUGGCGCGCUCCUGUAAUCCAGCUACUCGGAAGCAUGGAUGAGCGGACGGCUUGAGAGUGGGAGUUCUGUCGGCCACCGUCCUAUGUUGAUCGGGCGUCCGCACUAAGCACGGUAUCAACAUGGUGGUCCGGGAGGAGUCUUGGAUUUCCAGGUUGUCUAAGGAGGAGUGAACCGGGCCAGGAUGGUGACAUAGCAGCCAAAAUCUCCCGUACUGUGCAGUAGUGGGAUCGCGCCUGUGAAUAGGCAGUGGUUGGUAGCCCAUUCAACAUAGUCGAACCUCAUCCUUU